Molecule: ribosomal RNA, 397 nt
Filed under: uncultured crenarchaeote
Lineage: Archaea; Thermoproteati; Thermoproteota
Description: partial 16S ribosomal RNA
Rfam family: Archaeal small subunit ribosomal RNA
Source: RNAcentral
GCGCAGCAGUCGCGAAAGCGUGACGGGGCUACCCCGAGUGUCGUCCGCUGAGGACGACUUUUCCACGCUGUAAGGAGGCGUGGGAAUAAGGAGAGGGCAAGUCUGGUGUCAGCCGCCGCGGUAAUACCAGCUCUCCGAGUGGUAGGGACGAUUAUUGGGCUUAAAGCGUCCGUAGCCGGCUCAGCAAGUCUCCCGUUAAAUCCAACGAUUCAAUCGUUGGACUGCGGGAGAUACUGUUGAGCUAGGAGGCGGGAGAGGCCGACAGUAUUCCCGGAGUAGGGGUGAAAUCUUAUAAUUCCGGGAGGACCACCAGUGGCGAAGGCUGUCGGCUAGAACGCGCUCGACGGUGAGGGACGAAAGCUGGGGGAGCGAACCGGAUUAGAUACCCCGGUAGUCC